Molecule: ribosomal RNA, 585 nt
Filed under: uncultured bacterium
Lineage: Bacteria
Description: bacterial SSU rRNA
Rfam family: Bacterial small subunit ribosomal RNA
Source: RNAcentral
CCUACGGGAGGCAGCAGUGGGGAAUUGUUCGCAAUGGGCGCAAGCCUGACGACGCAACGCCGCGUGGAGGAUGAAGGUCUUCGGAUUGUAAACUCCUGUUGCUCGGGACGAAAAGCUUCGACCUAAUACGUCGAAGUCUGACGGUACCGGGUGAGGAAGCCCCGGCUAACUCUGUGCCAGCAGCCGCGGUAAUACAGAGGGGGCAAGCGUUGUUCGGAAUUACUGGGCGUAAAGGGCGCGUAGGCGGCCCUCUAAGUCAGACGUGAAAUCCCCGGGCUUAACCCGGGAACUGCGUCUGAUACUGGGGGGCUUGAAUCCGGGAGAGGGAUGCGGAAUUCCAGGUGUAGCGGUGAAAUGCGUAGAUAUCUGGAGGAACACCGGUGGCGAAGGCGGCAUCCUGGACCGGUAUUGACGCUGAGGCGCGAACGCCAGGGGAGCAAACGGGGAUUAGAUACCCCGGUAGUCCUGGCCCUAAACGAUGAAUGCUUGGUGUGGCGGGUAUCGAUCCCUGCCGUGCCGAAGCUAACGCAUUAAGCAUUCCGCCUGGGGAUACGGUCGCAAGGCUGAAACUUAAGGAAUUGACGG